This 253-nucleotide ribosomal RNA is filed under the name uncultured bacterium. Its description in RNAcentral is "partial 16S ribosomal RNA". It matches the Rfam family "Bacterial small subunit ribosomal RNA", at positions 524 to 776 of the family's 1533-position model. The record is from RNAcentral.
UACGUAGGGUGCGAGCGUUAAUCGGAAUUACUGGGCGUAAAGCGUGCGCAGGCGGCGCGUUAAGACAGGUGUGAAGGCCCCGAGCUUAACUUGGGAAUUGCGCUUGUGACUGGCGUGCUGGAGUGUGGCAGAGGGAGGUGGAAUUCCACGUGUAGCAGUGAAAUGCGUAGAGAUGUGGAGGAACACCGAUGGCGAAGGCAGCCUCCUGGGCCAGCACUGACGCUCAUGCACGAAAGCGUGGGGAGCAAACAGG